RNAcentral lists this ribosomal RNA (253 nucleotides) under uncultured bacterium. RNAcentral describes it as "partial 16S ribosomal RNA". It matches the Rfam family "Bacterial small subunit ribosomal RNA", at positions 524 to 776 of the family's 1533-position model. The record is from RNAcentral.
GACAGAGGGUGCAAACGUUGUUCGGAAUUACUGGGCGUAAAGCGCGUGUAGGCGGCCCUGCAAGUCGGAUGUGAAAUCCCACGGCUCAACCGUGGAAGUGCAUUCGAAACUGCAGGGCUAGAGUCCUGGAGAGGAAGGUGGAAUGCUUGGUGUAGGGGUGAAAUUCGUAGAUAUCAAGCGGAACACCGGUGGCGAAGGCGGCCUUCUGGACAGUGACUGACGCUGAGACGCGAAAGCGUGGGGAGCAAACAGG